UACGGAGGGUGCAAGCGUUAUCCGGAUUCACUGGGCUUAAAGGGUGCGUAGGUGGGCAGGUAAGUCAGUGGUGAAAUCUCCGGGCUCAACCCGGAAACUGCCAUUGAUACUAUCAGUCUUGAAUAUCGUGGAGGUAAGCGGAAUAUGUCAUGUAGCGGUGAAAUGCUUAGAUAUGACAUAGAACACCAAUUGCGAAGGCAGCUUACUACGCGAAUAUUGACACUGAGGCACGAAAGCGUGGGGAUCAAACAGG
RNAcentral lists this ribosomal RNA (253 nucleotides) under uncultured bacterium. RNAcentral describes it as "partial 16S ribosomal RNA". It matches the Rfam family "Bacterial small subunit ribosomal RNA", at positions 524 to 776 of the family's 1533-position model. The record is from RNAcentral.